This 849-nucleotide long non-coding RNA is filed under the name Homo sapiens (human). Its description in RNAcentral is "HSALNT0167794". The record is from RNAcentral. Lineage: Eukaryota; Metazoa; Chordata; Mammalia; Primates; Hominidae.
GUGAGAAAGAAUGCUGAGAAUGUGAGUCCAGUUGCAUGCAAGUUGGUAGAUUCGAUGGUGGAAGAGAAUUUUUCUUACUUCCGUGAGUUUUUCACUGAGAGUAAAGGUGGUCUGGAGAGAAUGUGGAAUUUGAAAGAAGAACUAAAGUUUUUCUCUCUGUUAACUUGGAAGGGGGAGAAUUUUUCUGUACCCACCCUGAAGCAAUCAAACAAAAAAGAUUUUGGAGAAAAGAGAAGGGGAAGAAGAAUGAACAACUGAGAGUUUUUCAGUACUGCUGUGUGCCCUGUGUGAGCUCACUACCAUCUCUAGGAAUUGCAGCAAUGGUAUCCUUAAGGCAUGAAAGUUUAUCCUUUCACCAGAGACUACAAUUAAUAUUUCAAGGCUGAAUUAGAUCUGCUCACCUAAAAUGGAACAGAAGGCCGCAAGGAAAACAUUGUCAGGAGAAGGGUAUGUGAUCUCUGCACAAACUGGCUCCCCUUCGCCUUCCACCAAGAGUGGAAGCAGCCUGAGACACCCAGUCUUCUAACCAGCAGAUCAUGAGCCAAAUAAACCUUUUUUCUUGACAAAUAAAAGAUUGUGGAUCCUCAAUUUAUGACAUUCCUGAUUUUUCGGACAACACCAAUUUCACAUAUUAUCAUCUAUUAUGAGUAUAUGUGUCCUAAUCAUUUGAAAAACAGGCAGGUCUCACCCAACAACUGGCCAGUGCCAUGGUGCAAAGGUUCAGGCCACUUUAGAAAAUCUCUGAAGGGUCAUCUCAACUCUAAAGCUUCCCACAUGAUUUUCGGAGCUUCUGUUGCAAUUACAUUACAGUCGAACUACUAACACUCUGAGAAAGUAGGAAUUGAUGCC